RNAcentral lists this unclassified non-coding RNA (21 nucleotides) under Mus musculus (house mouse). RNAcentral's name for it is "oocyte_clustered_small_RNA10046". Lineage: Eukaryota; Metazoa; Chordata; Mammalia; Rodentia; Muridae. The record is from RNAcentral.
UCGAUGAAGUCAGGAUAGGUG